GAGAUUCCAUUUUUUACGUUCCUUCUUCAUUCUCUAGCUGUGACUGGAAAACCGUAUCAACCUGUUGCAAGGUGCUUCUCUGAAGAAAAGGAAAGGAAAAUACUGACUUCGACUCCUUUUAUGAAAAGGUUCCUUGGUAAUGUUAAGUAUACUUUUUAGAUUAAUGGAAAAUUAAAAUAGUGAAUGAGACCUGAGAAUACUUUUUAAAACCAAUUUUUAG
RNAcentral lists this long non-coding RNA (220 nucleotides) under Chloebia gouldiae (Gouldian finch). RNAcentral's name for it is "Erythrura gouldiae (Gouldian finch) lncRNA (ENSEGOG00005006990.1)". Lineage: Eukaryota; Metazoa; Chordata; Aves; Passeriformes; Passeridae. The record is from RNAcentral.